RNAcentral lists this ribosomal RNA (585 nucleotides) under uncultured eukaryote. Its description in RNAcentral is "bacterial SSU rRNA". It matches the Rfam family "Eukaryotic small subunit ribosomal RNA", at positions 289 to 872 of the family's 1831-position model. The record is from RNAcentral.
GACUCGCCGAAUGAGUUUCUGACCUAUCAACUCGAGACGGCGGGGUAGAGGCCCGCCGCGGUAACGACGGGUAACGGGGAAUCAGGGUUCGAUUCCGGAGAGGGAGCCCGAGAAACGGCUACCACUUCCAAGGAAGGCAGCAGGCGCGCAACUUACCCUAAUCUCGAUUCGAGGAGGUAGUGACAAGAAAUACCGAUGCGGGACCCCUACGGGUGCCGCGUUCGGAAUGAGUACGAUUCGAACCACCUAACGAGGAACGAUCGGAGGGCAAGUCUGGUGCCAGCAGCCGCGGUAAUUCCAGCUCCAAUAGCGUACGUUAAAGUUGCUGCAGUUAAAAAGCUCGUAGUUGAACGUUCGGGUUCCGCGGGACGGGGCCGCCCCGCGAGGGACGGCGCCGCCCCGGGGCUCGUGAUAUCUCAUCUCGCCGCCCGUCGCGAGGCGGACGGAGGGGAUGGAUGAGGUUACCUGGAAAAAAUCGGGGCGAUCUAGGCGGGCGAACCGUCGCCAACGAACGAUCGGACAUGGGAUAACGGAAGAGGGCGUCGGCUCGACUUCGUCGGUUCCUCGGGCCGAGGCACGUACGGU